GCUGCGGCCGCCGCCUCACCCUCGGCCGCCUGCAAAGUCUGCAGGAGCUGGCGCGCUUCCUCCUCCUCUUCUUCGGUCGCCGCCGCCGCCACCGCCUCCCCCCCAGCCGCCGGCCCCGCGCUCGGCUCCGCAGGCAAGGCCGCGCUUUUUCCUCCCCCCGCGUGUGCCUCAGGCUGAGGGCCUCAGUUUCCCCAUCGGGACAACGGAGAAGGUAACGGGCCGUCCGGGAAGGCUAAGGGCGCGAAGCCACCUCCGCCCCGAGACUAAGCUUCUGCACGCCUCCGUCUCCAGAGUCCUCUGAAGGCCCCCCCAUGCCCCAUCUCGGCCCGCGCUCCGCCCCUCGGAAUUCCCGGCUCCGCAGGGGGGCGGGUCCGGCAGGGAGAAGGGGCGGGGGAAACGGGUUAGAAAGUUUGCAGCAACUUUUCUUGAGCUAGUCGCUGGGACAGAGUCGCGUGGCCCGCGCAAGCGCAGUAGUAGGAGGAUGGCCGCGCGCGCGCGCGCAGCCGGCCCAACCCCCUUCUUGCCGGCCUGCGGGUGGCACAGCUGGGCCACAGCUGGGCAAGGGGCGGUGCCUCCGGGCGGCUCGCUAGCCACCUCCUAUUGGCCGGAUGCCGAAGCCACGCCUUUCAGCGUCCCCACCCCCACCCCCAGCCCGGAUUCGUCUGCUUGGCGGCCCUGUAGCUUCUUGCCAGGCCAUUGGGCGCCUCCACUCGCCUUCCAAUUGGCCCACUGAGCAGCCUCGUUCCCGCAACGCCAAGAGAGCGGACACCGCGGAGUCCAGAGCUUUGGGCAGACGGGAGGGCCUUUUAUUCGCGAGGAUCGGGGGUGGGGUCCUAGGUGUGGAGAGACAAUAAAUACUGAGGAAUGUCGGGGUCUCAGUGCAUCCAAAACGUGGAUUAGGGUGCUGGGGUCCUGGAACUUGGCGGGUCGGAGGACAGGUCAAUAAAUACCCAAACUGCCGAGGCGGGCGGAGCCUGCUGUGGCCCCGAGAGCUACGUACGUGAGGAGGGCGCGCGAGUCCCCGAAAAAGCGGGGCUGGCGAAAGCAAAAGGUUCUCGAGAAGGCGGGCGGGGCUCGCACUAGACGUUCGCCGCGGGAAGAGAACAUUCCCAGGAUAGUAGGGCCUCAUGCACAGGGAUUUGUGGUCUGCGAGCCGAUAGGCGGGGGGCGCGUGGAGGGUGAAAAACUGAUGGCCGAGCCCUGGCCCUGCUGUCUCCUCUAGAUCGCAGUUUGCCCAUCCACGGCGGGGCCUCAGCCAGGCCGGAGUUAGUAGGUGGUUGGUCUGCGAUUCUCCCCAGCAGCAACUGCAGCAUUCCCGGUUACAAGCCUCCCUGGAGCCCCCUGCUCCUCCCUCCCCGGCCGCCAGGGGGCGGGCCCGGAUCACAGGGCUGGAGCUCGGGCGGAGACCCACGCUGGGAGGCGGUGUGAACGGGGAGGCGGUAGGAAUGGCUUCUGCGCCGUGCCCAGGUCACCCAACCCUCCAGCUUGGGGUCCUAGGGUUCAGGGGGCGAAGGCGGCUCCCGGGUGGCGCCAGACCGGGGCGAGAUGGUGGGCGCAGGCCACCAACCCAGUGCAGCCCAAGGCGGCGGCAGCAGCCAGAGCAACGGCGAACAGGAGCAGGGAACGCGCCUCCGAUAGGUCAGGCUUAGGGACCUGCGGACAAGAGGGCGUGAUCAGGUCUUGGCGGCACGGCCCCCCGAUUGGCUCCUGGGACUCGCCACGCCCACGCUUAUAGGUGGGUUCACACUCCUCUCUCGUCCCGCCCCGCCCCGCCCCGCCCCCGCGGGCAGUUGCGGUUGGUCCGCGGGCAAGCUUCAAGUCUCGUCCGAACUCGCCACUGGCUGCUUCCUAGCGGCCUGAGCUGAUUGGCUGCCCGCGCAUCCUCCCUCCCCGCGGCGGCCCCGCUCGACAGAGGCGCAGCUAAGCAGAGGAGGCUUGGGGUGCUUGGUGCGAGGAGGGGGCGCGGCGGCGGGCGGGCGUGAGCAGCCGGACGUACCCUGGCAGGGAGCAGCAGGUGGCGGCGGUGCAUGGGGCCCGGCCCCACCAGCGGGCAUUGGCCCAGAGCCACGGCCGGGGGGCCAUCUAGCUGGAGAGAGAAGGGACAGGUGACCCGAUCGGAGCCCAGCCCGGCCCGGCCGCCCUCGGCAGGAGGCGAGAGACAGCGAACGGAGUCGGGGAGGGAAUCUAGGGAGAUCCUAGAUGGGAUCUGGUUAGAGGCCCGGACCGAGGGCUGUCUGGUAGACGUGGGGCUGAGUGGAGGGUGUCUGCCGUCUGGAACCCCAAAGAGAUAGGGUGAUCCCUAAAUCCGGACGGGGAGACGGGGCCGGGGUUGCAGAGGGGCCAGCAGGCUUGAUACAGGGGAAAAAGAGGGGUCUUACAUGGGAAGGUGCAUCCGUGGCCCGGGGACUGGGGACCCCCGUGACAGCUGGAAGGAGAAGAGAGAGGCGUAGGGCGCGUGGAGGGACGGAGGAGGGCGGUGGCGCGGCGUGCCCCAGCCUGGGCCCCUCGCCCUCCCCCAGGUGUCCACACACGCCGCGGGCCCACCUCCCCCCGUCGCCCUCGGGAAAGGGGACGGAGGGGGGACUCGCCUGCGUCUCCCCCGGCCUGCAGCAGCUCCAUCCGCUCCUGCAGCUGCCGGACGCGCGCCUCCAGGUCUCGGUUCCGGGCCUCGGCCUCACGGAGCUGACUGCGGGGAGGGAAAGACCGUGAGCCCUUCCGGACCGGACCUGGGCGAGACGGGCUGCCGACGGUAGCGACCAGCCCCGGCGCCCCGACCCCGACCUGGCGAAGCUCUGGUUGGCUGUGCGGAUGGCCUCCAGCUCCCGGCUCAGGCUCUGCCGUGUAAGCACCUCCUCCUCCAGGGCCUCCUGGAGCUCCCGCAGCGUCACCUGGGCCUCCGCCGCCACCGCCGCCGCCGCCGCCGCCGCGGGAACGGCCUCCGGAGCUGCCGCUUCGGCCUGCGUGCGGGACCUGGCUUAGGGUUGCCCGCUCCUGCAGCGCCCAAGACUUGGGCACCGGUUCUAGGCUGGGAUCUUCCCUUGUCCUCUAGAUCUUUCCGGAAUCCCCACAGCUCCUGCAGUGACCCACGUCUCCUCCUUCCCUAACUAACCCCAGCCCCUGCCUUGGUCUCCGGCCUCCAGUCUGGGCCCUUCCCACCCACCUUCCACACAGGAACCAAAGGGCUAUUCCUACAACUCUUACCCAACUUGACCAUGGCCCUCCCCUCUUCUCCAGUCCCUGGGCGUCCUCAGGAGAAGGCCUGCCUCACCAAAAGGCCCUGUUUGGUUUGUCUCUGUCUCCCCCCCCCUCAUUCACCAGCCCCCUCUUCCGGGAACAAUUCACCCUAACUACCCUCCUUUCCGGUUCAAGAAUAAACCUUUGCCUUGAGCUUCUGUCUGCUGACCAAGGGCCGGCCCCCUCCUCCCACACACAAAGGCCUUUAUUUCUUCAGAGGGAUGAUUUCUGACUGAAGUAACUUUGUCUCUACUUUGCAUUCUCUCUCUCUAUCAAGCCAACUCCCAGAGGGCUUCAGGCCGGCAGCACACAAGACCCCGGAAGCCCCUGCCUUUCUCGGAUUCUCCCUGACCGACCUUCUCCUCCAGAGACUCACUGUUUCCUCUGGUGGCAGCACCGUGGGCUCCGGGCUGGGCGCCCGCACAGAUUCUGAGGUCCCGUGACUGGACUAGCAAUCUAAAAGUGGACGCCUGGAAGAUUCUGGAAGCCCAAGUCUGUGGCUCCGAGGUUUUGCAAGGGAAUCUAAAACUUCACGGUACUUACGGUCUGACCUCGUAAGGUCCUACAACUCCGGACUCCUAACAGUCCUUGGUCCCAAGACGCUACGCUUCUGAGCCUGAUCUUGCAACCCUACUGGGAGCCCCUGAACAGCGCUUACCUGAGGGCCAUGCAGGAGUAGGAGUAGCCCACAAAUGGCAGGUGGACCCCCAGGGGCAUGCCUUCCCGCAUGUCGGACAGCGUCUCCUGUACCAGAGAAAUCCAGAUGUGGAGUGACCUGUGCUCCUCAGGGCUGGUGCCUCACCCCUUCCCAGUCUUGGCUUAAAUGCCAGCUCCCCACCCCACCCCAGCUUGGGGCCUCGUCUAAAGUGGCCCCUCCCUCAUCUUCUUUCAUUGUAUCCGGCUGCUUCCCUCAGGGCGCUCUCCACAGUGUCAUUCUAUACUUCUCCCGACUGCACGUGGACGAGGGCGGGGACCCAGGGCUGGCCUGGUCCCUGUGGGUCCCCAGCAGUGCCCAGCACUGGGGUGGCUUGUACAACAGUUGAGAGAGAGAUGGCCUAGGAGAGAUUCCUCAA
Molecule: long non-coding RNA, 4307 nt
Organism: Felis catus (domestic cat)
Lineage: Eukaryota; Metazoa; Chordata; Mammalia; Carnivora; Felidae
Exons: 3
Source: RefSeq, a predicted model, not a curated record